RNAcentral lists this ribosomal RNA (490 nucleotides) under uncultured bacterium. RNAcentral's name for it is "partial 16S ribosomal RNA". It matches the Rfam family "Bacterial small subunit ribosomal RNA", at positions 30 to 507 of the family's 1533-position model. The record is from RNAcentral.
AUUGAACGCUGGCGGCAGGCCUAACACAUGCCAGUCGAACGGGAACAGGAAACAGCUUGCUGUUUCGCUGACGAGUGGCGGACGGGUGAGUAAUGUCUGGGAAACUGCCUGAUGGAGGGGGAUAACUACUGGAAACGGUAGCUAAUACCGCAUAACGUCGCAAGACCAAAGAGGGGGACCCUCGGGCCUCUUGCCAUCGGAUGUGCCCCGAUGGGCUUAUCUUGUUGGUGGGGUCACGGCUCACCAAGGCGACGAUCCCUAGCUGGUCUGAGAGGAUGACGGGCCACACGGGAACUGAGACACGGUCCAGACGCCUACGGGAGGCAGCAGUGGGGAAUAUUGGACAAUGGGCGGAAGCCUGAUGCAGCCAAGCCGCGUGUAUGAAGAAGGCCUUCGGGUUGUAAAGUACUUUCAGCGGGGAGGAAGGGAGUAAAGUUAAUACCUUUGCUCAUUGACGGUACCCGCAGAAGAAGCACCGGCUAACUACGUG